GUUGUACUGUUGAUGUCCUGUUGACAGUUUUAUCCCCAAGUUGUGUCCUGUUGAUGGGUUGUCGUGGUUCAUUUGCCAGUUUGGUUUGUUUAUCCCUUUUUGGAUUCCUAUUCCUGUUGAUGGCCUACUUGUGAUGUGGACCUCCCACAGGUUUCAUGGAGUAGCCCUCCCAAAGAUAAAAGUACCCUCUCCUGUGUAAAGUGACGCUAAAGCACCCCCCUCUACCAUGGAUGGCCUACUUGUGAUGUGGACCUCCCCCACCGCACUGUUACAAAGAGACCCUGCAGGUUUCAUGGAGUAGUCCUCCCAAAUAUAAAAGUACCCUCUCCAGUGUAAAGUGACGCUAAAGCACCCCGCUCUACCUUGGACGGCCUACUUGUGAUGUGGACCUCCCCCACCGCCAUGUUACAGAGACCUUUUAGGUUUCACGGACUAGCCCUCCCAAAGAUAAAAGUACCCUCUCCGGUGUAAAGUGAUGCUAAAGUACCCCCCUCUACCAUGGACGGCCUACCUCAAGACCUUCAAUAUCCCCGCAUCCCUUUAAUGCCCUAUUGUAAAUUACAUUUACUAUAUUUUAAAGAAAAAACAGAAAACUUCUAAAUUUCAAAUUUUAUUGAAGAAAAUUAAACAGUUGUAUUUUGUAUUG
Pseudophryne corroboree (corroboree frog) is the source of this 646-nucleotide long non-coding RNA. RefSeq lists it as uncharacterized. Lineage: Eukaryota; Metazoa; Chordata; Amphibia; Anura; Myobatrachidae. The record is from RefSeq and is a predicted model, not a curated record. The transcript has 3 exons.